UGUGGUUCUAAGUCCAAGAUGGCUAGUCUCAAGGAUGAGCUGAUUGUGACUCUCCUUAAGGAAGAGCAGGUGCCCCAAAAUAAGAUCACAGUUGUUGGGGUUGGUGUUGUUUGCAUGGCCUGUGCCAUCAGUAUCUUAAUGAAGGACUUGGCAGAUGAACUUGCUCUUGUUGAUGUCAUGGAAGACAAACUGAAGGGAGAAAUGAUAGAUCUCCAACACGGCAGCCUUUUCCUCAGGACACCAAAAAUUAUCUCUGGCAAAGACUAUAAUGUAACCACCAACUCCAAGCUGGUUAUUAUCACCACUGGAGCACAUCAGCAAGAGGGAGAGAGCCACCUUAAUUUGUUGCAGCAUAAUGUGAACAUCCUCAAGUUCACCAUUCCUAAUGUUAUGAAGUACAGUCCCAACUGCAAGUUGCUUGUUGUGUCCAACCCAGUGGACAUCUUGACCUAUGUGGCUUGGAAGAUAAGCGACUUUCCCAAGAACCAUGUUAUUGGCAGUGGUUGCAACCUGGAUUCAGCCCAGUUCUGCUACCUGAUGGGAGAAAGCCUGACAUGCACCCACUGAGCUGCCACAGCUGGAUCCUUGGGGAGCAUGGAGACUACAGUGUCCUUGUGUGGAGUGGCAUGAAUGUUGCUGGUGUCACCCUGAAGAAUAUGCACCCUGAGUUAGGAACUGAUGAGGAUAAGGAGCAUUGGAAAGAGGUUUACAAACAAGUGGUUGAAAGCACUAAUCAAGUGAUCAAACUGAAAGGCUACCUAUCUUGAGUCAUUGAACGGUUAGUGGCAGAUUUGGCAAAAAGUAUAUUGAAGAACCUUAGGAGGGUACACCCAAUUUCUACCAUGAUUAAGGGGCUGUAUGGAAUAAAGGAUGAUGUUUUCCUUAGUGUCUCUUGUGUCCUAGGACAGAAUGGGAUCUCUGAUGUUGUGAACGUGACUCUGACUUCUGAGGAAGAGGCACGUUUGAAGAAGAGUGUGGAUACCCUGUGGUCGAUCCAGAAGGAGCUGCAGUUUUAGAGUCUUCCAGUGUCACCACAUC
This is an RNA transcript of Octodon degus (degu), 1038 nucleotides long. It is a transcript of the gene named L-lactate dehydrogenase A chain pseudogene, with no coding region annotated. The record is from RefSeq and is a predicted model, not a curated record. The transcript has a single exon. Lineage: Eukaryota; Metazoa; Chordata; Mammalia; Rodentia; Octodontidae.